This 463-nucleotide ribosomal RNA is filed under the name Vreelandella stevensii. Its description in RNAcentral is "partial 16S ribosomal RNA". It matches the Rfam family "Bacterial small subunit ribosomal RNA", at positions 339 to 794 of the family's 1533-position model. Lineage: Bacteria; Pseudomonadati; Pseudomonadota; Gammaproteobacteria; Oceanospirillales; Halomonadaceae. The record is from RNAcentral.
CCUCGGGGGGCUGCAGUGGGGAAUAUUGGACAAUGGGCGAAAGCCUGAUCCAGCCAUGCCGCGUGUGUGAAGAAGGCCUUCGGGUUGUAAAGCACUUUCAGUGGGGAAGAAAGCCUUGGGGCUAAUACCCUCGAGGAAGGACAUCACCCACAGAAGAAGCACCGGCUAACUCCGUGCCAGCAGCCGCGGUAAUACGGAGGGUGCGAGCGUUAAUCGGAAUUACUGGGCGUAAAGCGCGCGUAGGCGGUCUGAUAAGCCGGUUGUGAAAGCCCCGGGCUCAACCUGGGAACGGCAUCCGGAACUGUCAGGCUAGAGUGCAGGAGAGGAAGGUAGAAUUCCCGGUGUAGCGGUGAAAUGCGUAGAGAUCGGGAGGAAUACCAGUGGCGAAGGCGGCCUUCUGGACUGACACUGACGCUGAGGUGCGAAAGCGUGGGUAGCAAACAGGAUUAGAUACCCGAGUAGC